UAAAAGGGCUUCUGCCGUGCGUGGCACGGGGGGGCCCCGCGGCCGCCCCCGCGGAAUCGGCAUCAAGAGAUUUCGGAAGCACAAUUUUUGCGGUGGGGG
Molecule: non-coding RNA, 99 nt
Organism: Aptenodytes forsteri (emperor penguin)
Lineage: Eukaryota; Metazoa; Chordata; Aves; Sphenisciformes; Spheniscidae
Source: Rfam